UGGGGAAUAUUGCACAAUGGGCGCAAGCCUGAUGCAGCGACGCCGCGUGGGGGAUGACGGCCUUCGGGUUGUAAACUCCUUUCGCCAGGGACGAAGCGUUUUGUGACGGUACCUGGAGAAGAAGCACCGGCUAACUACGUGCCAGCAGCCGCGGUAAUACGUAGGGUGCAAGCGUUGUCCGGAAUUACUGGGCGUAAAGAGCUCGUAGGUGGUUUGUCACGCCGUCUGUGAAAUUCCACAGCUUAACUGUGGGCGUGCAGGCGAUACGGGCUGACUUGAGUACUGUAGGGGUAACUGGAAUUCCUGGUGUAGCGGUGAAAUGCGCAGAUAUCAGGAGGAACACCGAUGGCGAAGGCAGGUUACUGGGCAGUUACUGACGCUGAGGAGCGAAAGCAUGGGUAGCAAACAGGAUUAGAUACCCUGGUAGUCCAUGCCGUAAACGGUGGGCGCUAGGUGUAGGGGCCUUUUGGGGUUUCUGUGCCGUAGCUAACGCAUUAAGCGCCCCGCCUGGGGAGUACGGCCGCAAGGCUA
Molecule: ribosomal RNA, 531 nt
Filed under: uncultured bacterium
Lineage: Bacteria
Description: bacterial SSU rRNA
Rfam family: Bacterial small subunit ribosomal RNA
Source: RNAcentral